UAAGCUCAGGAGGGAUAGCGCCAUGGAUGUUUUUGUAAUCGAUCAUGUCUCUAGAUUCCUGGGUUUUGAUCCUUCUGUAGCGCUAUCCAUCCUGAGUUCAAUAGGU
Molecule: small RNA, 106 nt
Filed under: Manihot esculenta (cassava)
Lineage: Eukaryota; Viridiplantae; Streptophyta; Magnoliopsida; Malpighiales; Euphorbiaceae
Description: precursor microRNA miR390c
Source: RNAcentral